CACCCACUUCAGAGCGCCCGAGAGACCUGGCUCGUUGACGGCGCGGCAACCGGACCCCAUCGCGUCACGGUGCCAAGGCCAGCCCCCCUGAGAUUCGCGGCUUAACGAUGAGCG
This 114-nucleotide non-coding RNA is filed under the name Deinococcus radiopugnans. RNAcentral's name for it is "Deinococcus swuensis SAM-I sequence". It matches the Rfam family "SAM riboswitch aptamer (S box leader)". Rfam says of the family: The SAM riboswitch is found upstream of a number of genes which code for proteins involved in methionine or cysteine biosynthesis in Gram-positive bacteria. The SAM riboswitch acts at the level of transcription termination control. The predicted structure consists of a complex stem-loop region followed by a single stem loop terminator region. The record is from RNAcentral. Lineage: Bacteria; Thermotogati; Deinococcota; Deinococci; Deinococcales; Deinococcaceae.